GAUGAGCAAAGCUGUGUCAUUUUCUUAGGGAAAUUCGCACAGAUGAUGAUUGCAUGCAAUACGCCUAAUGACCUUUGUGUUGUGAUUUUUUUUUAUUGAGGUAGUCAUUUAAAAUUUUUAUUUUAUUCAAAAUUAAUCAUUUUAUAUUUUAAAUGUGUACGUAAUUAUUUUAAUUUUUUACUUAAUAUAAUUUUUUUAAAAAGUGUUGAAUAAGAUGACUAGAUUAAUAGCUAUUUGGUGAGGCAAUAACUUAUCAAGGUGAUGAUCGGUAACUGGUCCGAGAGGAUGACUAACCACACUGAGACUGAGACAUGGCCCAGACUAUUAUGGGAGGUAGUAGUGGGGAAUUUUUUGCAAUGGGUGAAAGCUUGAUGGAGCAAUCUCGCGUGUAGGUAGAAGGCUUACAAGUCAUGAACUUUUCUUGGAGAAGAAGCAAUGACGAUAUUUGGGGAAUAAGCAUCAACUAACUUUGUGCCAAUAGUCGCGGUAAUGCAGAGUAUGCAAGUGUUAAUCAGAAUGAUUGGGCGUAAAGUAUUUGUAGAUGACUUUUUAAGUUUGUCGUUAAAUCCCAUGACUCAACCCUAGAUAGGAGGGGGAAACUAUCAAGCUGGGGUAUGGUAGUGGCAAAGCACUUUGUUGCCCCAUCAUUGACACUGAGAGACGAAAAUAGAGUUAAUUACACCAUACAUCCUCAAAUUAUAACCUUCAUU
This is a non-coding RNA of Gossypium raimondii (Peruvian cotton), 710 nucleotides long. The record is from Rfam. Lineage: Eukaryota; Viridiplantae; Streptophyta; Magnoliopsida; Malvales; Malvaceae.